Molecule: ribosomal RNA, 506 nt
Filed under: uncultured bacterium
Lineage: Bacteria
Description: partial 16S ribosomal RNA
Rfam family: Bacterial small subunit ribosomal RNA
Source: RNAcentral
AGUGAACGCUGGCGGUAGGCCUAACACAUGCAAGUCGAACGGCAGCACAGAGGAGCUUGCUCCUUGGGUGGCGAGUGGCGGACGGGUGAGGAAUACAUCGGAAUCUACUCUGUCGUGGGGGAUAACGUAGGGAAACUUACGCUAAUACCGCAUACGACCUACGGGUGAAAGCAGGGGACCUUCGGGCCUUGCGCGAUUGAAUGAGCCGAUGUCGGAUUAGCUAGUUGGCGGGGUAAAGGCCCACCAAGGCGACGAUCCGUAGCUGGUCUGAGAGGAUGAUCAGCCACACUGGAGCUGAGACACGGUCCAGACUCCUACGGGAGGCAGCAGUGGGGAAUAUUGUACAAUGGGCGCAAGCCUGAUCCAGCCAUACCGCGUGGGUGAAGAAGGCCUUCGGGUUGUAAAGCCCUUUUGUUGGGAAAGAAAUCCAGCUGGCUAAUACCCGGUUGGAAUGACGGUACCCAAAGAAUAAGCACCGGCUAACUUCGUGCCAGCCGCCGCGGUAA